UGAGAGCCUAUGGGAGCCGUGGGAAGUGUCACGUUACCGCAGAGAUCCUUUGUUUUGGAAAGAGAUGUCAAAGAAAGCCAAUAAAUAGUCAGACAGGCCACUUCCUGUAAAGGAAUCUCUCAGGUUUUUGCCUGCCAUAUGAGUUCUGUUAUACUCACAGACACCAUUCAAACAGUUUUAGAAACUUUAGUGUGUUUUCUAUCCAUAUCUAAUAAGUAUAUGCAUAUUCUAGUUACUGGGUAGGAGUAGUAACCAGAUUAAAUCGGGUACGUUUUUUAUCCGGCGGUGUAAAUACUGCCCCCUAGCCCUAAGAGGAUAACAUAAAUCUUCAGGGCGUUUUUCAACAAGAGAGCCAAUAAGAUUCGAGGGGGACGAUUGCAGUGUGUUUCAAAACGUUUCGAAAGGGGAGGGUAACCAGGGACGCCGGCAUUCCCCAUGCGGGGGGGCUGGCAGCACUAGCUCACUAUUUGGGAGACAGAGAUACUAAUGAAUAUCCACCAACAAACUUUAUUUUAGAGCUGGCAGAAUAUGUUUUGAAGUAUAACUAUUUUAGGUUUGAUGAUGAAUACUACCUCCAAACGAAUGGAACGUCGAUGGGCUCCACAUUCGAUCCGAGUUAUGCUAACCUUUAUGUGGGUCUAUUUGAAGAACGUUUUGUCAAUAACAAAAAACGAAAAUCCAUUUUUGAAUAAAAUCCUGAAGUGGUAUCGAUAUAUUGACAAAAAUUUUUGCAUAUGGGAAGGAACUGAACAAGAGCUGUCAGAUAGGGUAGGAAACAGACAGUGGGUUAGGGUAGGAAACAGACAGACAGUGAAUUAGGGUAUGAAACAGACAGACAUUUAGUUAGGGUAUGAAACAGACAGACAGUGAGUUAGGGUAGGAAACAGACAGACAGUGGGUUAGGGUAUGAUACAGACAGACAGUGAGUUAGGGUAUGAUACAGACAGACAGCGGGUUAGGGUAUGAAACAGACAGACAGUGGGUUAGGGUAUGAAACAGACAGACAGUGAGUUAGGGUAGGAAACAGACAGACAGUGGGUUAGGGUAUGAUACAGACAGACAGUGAGUUAGGGUAUGAAACAGACAGACAGUGAGUUAGGGUAGGACAGACAGUGGGUUACGGUAGGAAACAGACAGACAGUGGGUUAGGGUAGGAAACAGACAUUGGGUUAGGGUAGGAAACAGACAGACAGUGGGUUAGGGUAUGAAACAGACAGACAGUGAGUUAGGGUAGGAAACAGACAGUGGGUUAGGGUAGGAAACAGACAGACAGUGGGUUAGGGUAGGAAACAGACAGACAGUGUGUUAGGGUAGGAAACAGACAGUGUGUUAGGGUAGGAGACAGACAGACAGUGGGUUAGGGUAUGAAACAGACAGACAGUGGGUUAGGGUAAGAAAUAGACAGACAGUGGUUUAGGGUAUGAAACAGACAGACAGUGGGUUAGGGUAGGAAACAGACAGUGGGUUAGGGUAGGAAACAGACAGACAGUGGGUUAGGGUAGGAAACAGACAGUGGGUUAGGGUAUGAAACAGACAGACAGUGGGUUAGGGUAGGACACAGACAGUGAGUUAGGGUAUGAAAUAGACAGACAGUGGGUUAGGGUAGGAAAUAGACAGUGGGAUAGGGUAGGAAACAGACAGUGGGUUAGGGUAGGAAACAGACAGACAGUGGGUUAGGGUAUGAAACAGACAGACAGUGGGUUAGGGUAGGAAAUAGACAGUGGGUUAGGGUAGUACACAGACAGACUGAGGGUUAGGGUAGAAGGCAGACAGUGGGUCAGGGUAUGAAACAGACAGACAGUGGGUUAGGUAAGGAAACAGACAGACAGUGGUUUGGGUAUGAAACAGACAGACAGUGGGUUAGGGUAGGAAACAGACAGACAGUGGGUUAGGGUAUGAAACAGACAGACAGUGGGAUAGGGUAGGACGCAGACAGUGUGUUAGGGUAUGAAACAGACAGACAGUGGGUUAGGUAAGGAAACAGACAGACAGUGGUUUGGGUAUGAAACAGACAGACAGUGUGUUAGGGUAGGAAACAGACAGACAGUGGGUUAGGGUAGGAAACAGACAGUGGGUUAGGGUAUGAAACAGACAGACAGUGGGAUAGGGUAGGACGCAGACAGUGUGUUAGGGUAUGCAAUAGACAGACAGUGGGUUAGGGUAUGAAACAGACAGACAGUGGGUUAGGGUAGGAAAUAGACAGUGGGAUAGGGUAGGAAAGAGACAGUGGGUUAGGGUAGGAAACAGACAGACAGUGGGUUAGGGUAGGAAACAGACAGUGGGUUAGGGUAAGACACAGACAGACAGUGGGUUAGGGUAGGAAACAGACAGUGGGUUAGGGUAGGAAACAGACAGACAGUGGGUUAGGGUAGGAAACAGACAGUGGGUUAGGGUAUGAAACAGACAGACAGUGGGUUAGGGUAGGACACAGACAGUGAGUUAGGGUAUGAAAUAGACAGACAGUGGGUUAGGGUAGGAAACAGACAGACAGUGGGUUAGGGUAGGAAACAGACAGUGGGUUAGGGUAUGAAACAGACAGACAGUGGGAUAGGGUAGGACGCAGACAGUGUGUUAGGGUAUGCAAUAGACAGACAGUGGGUUAGGGUAUGAAACAGACAGACAGUGGGUUAGGGUAGGAAAUAGACAGUGGGAUAGGGUAGGAAAGAGACAGUGGGUUAAGGUAGGAAACAGACAGACAGUGGGUUAGGGUAUGAAACAGACAGACAGUGGGUCAGGGUAGGAAAUAGACAGUGGGUUAGGGUAAGACACAGACAGACAGUGGGUCAGGGUAGGAAACAGACAGUGGGUUAGGGUAGGAAACAGACAGACAGUGGGUUAGGGUAGGAAACAGACAGUGUGUUAGGGUAUGAAACAGACAGACAGUGGGUUAGGGUAGGACACAGACAGUGGGUUAGGGUAGGAUAUAGACAGUGGGAUAGGGUAGGAAACAGACAGUGGGUUAGGGUAGGAAACAGACAGACAGUGGGUUAGGGUAUGAAACAGACAGACAGUGGGUUAGGGUAGGAAAUAGACAGUGGGUUAGGGUAGGACACAGACAGACUGUGGGUUAGGGUAGAAGACAGACAGUGGGUCAGGGUAUGAAACAGACAGACAGUGGGUUAGGUAAGGAAACAGACAGACAGUGGUUUGGGUAUGAAACAGACAGACAGUGGGUUAGGGUAGGAAACAGACAGACAGUGGGUUAGGGUAGGAAACAGACAGUGGGUUAGGGUAUGAAACAGACAGACAGUGGGAUAGGGUAGGACGCAGACAGUGUGUUAGGGUAUGAAACAGACAGACAGUGGGUUAGGGUAGGAAACAGACAGACAGUGGGUUAGGGUAGGAAAUAGACAGUGGGUUAGGGUAAGACACAGACAGACAGUGGGUUAGGGUAGGAAACAGACAGUGGGUUAGGGUAGGAAACAGACAGACAGUGGGUUAGGGUAGGAAACAGACAGUGGGUUAGGGUAUGAAACAGACAGACAGUGGGUUAGGGUAGGACACAGACAGUGAGUUAGGGUAUGAAAUAGACAGACAGUGGGUUAGGGUAUGAAACAGACAGACAGUGGGUUAGGGUAGGAAAUAGACAGUGGGAUAGGGUAGGAAACAGACAGUGGGUUAGGGUAGGAAACAGACAGACAGUGGGUUAGGGUAUGAAACAGACAGACAGUGUGUUAGGGUAGGAAAUAGACAGUGGGUUAGGGUAGGACACAGACAGACUGUGGGUUAGGGUAGAAGACAGACAGUGGGUCAGGGUAUGAAACAGACAGACAGUGGGUUAGGUAAGGAAACAGACAGACAGUGGUUUGGGUAUGAAACAGACAGACAGUGGGUUAGGGUAGGAAACAGACAGACAGUGGGUUAGGGUAGGAAACAGACAGUGGGUUAGGGUAUGAAACAGACAGACAGUGGGAUAGGGUAGGACGCAGACAGUGUGUUAGGGUAUGAAACAGACUGACAGUGGGUUAGGUAAGGAAACAGACAGACAGUGGUUUGGGUAUGAAACAGACAGACAGUGCGUUAGGGUAGGAAACAGACAGACAGUGGGUUAGGGUAGGAAACAGACAGUGGUUUAGGGUAUGAAACAGACAGACAGUGGGAUAGGGUAGGACGCAGACAGUGUGUUAGGGUAUGCAAUAGACAGACAGUGGGUUAGGGUAUGAAACAGACAGACAGUGGGUUAGGGUAGGAAAUAGACAGUGGGAUAGGGUAGGAAAGAGACAGUGGGUUAGGGUAGGAAACAGACAGACAGUGGGUUAGGGUAGGAAACAGACAGUGGGUUAGGGUAAGACACAGACAGACUGUGGGUUAGGGUAGGAAACAGACAGUGGGUCAGGUUAUGAAACAGACAGACAGUGAGUUAGGGUAGGACAAACAGUGGGUUAGGGUAGGAAACAGACAGACAGUGGGUUAGGGUAGGAAACAGACAGACAGUGUGUCAGGGUAGGAGACAGACAGUGGGUUAGGGUAUGAAACAGACAGACAGUGAAUUAGGGUAUGAAACAGACAGACAUUGAGUUAGGGUAUGAAACAGACAGACAGUGAGUUAGGGUAGGAAACAGACAGACAGUGUGUUAGGGUAUGAUACAGACAGACAGUGAGUUAGGGUAUGAUACAGACAGACAGCGGGUUAGGGUAUGAAACAGACAGACAGUGGGUUAGGGUAUGAAACAGACAGACAGUGAGUUAGGGUAGGAAACAGACAGACAGUGGGUUAGGGUAUGAUACAGACAGACAGUGAGUUAGGGUAUGAUACAGACAGACAGUGGGUUAGGGUAUGAAACAGACAGACAGUGAGUUAGGGUAGGACAGACAGUGGGUUAGGGUAGGAAACAGACAGACAGUGGGUUAGGGUAGGAAACAGACAGUGUGUUAGGGUAGGAAACAGACAGACAGUGGGUUAGGGUAUGAAACAGACAGACAGUGAGUUAGGGUAGGAAACAGACAGUGGGUUAGGGUAGGAAACAGACAGACAGUGGGUUAGGGUAGGAAACAGACAGACAGUGUGUUAGGGUAGGAAACAGACAGUGUGUUAGGGUAGGAGACAGACAGACAGUGGGUUAGGGUAUAAAACAGACAGACAGUGGGUUAGGGUAAGAAAUAGACAGACAGUGGUUUAGGGUAUGAAACAGACAGACAGUGGGUUAGGGUAGGAAACAGACAGUGGGUUAGGGUAGGAAACAGACAGACAGUGGGUUAGGGUAGGAAACAGACAGUGGGUUAGGGUAGGAAACAGACAGACAGUGGGUUAGGGUAGGACACAGACAGUGAGUUAGGGUAUGAAAUAGACAGACAGUGGGUUAGGGUAUGAAACAGACAGACAGUGGGUUAGGGUAGGAAAUAGACAGUGGGAUAGGGUAGGAAACAGACAGUGGGUUAGGGUAGGAAACAGACAGACAGUGGGUUAGGGUAUGAAACAGACAGACAGUGGGUUAGGGUAGUACACAGACAGACUGUGGGUUAGGGUAGAAGACAGACAGUGGGUCAGGGUAUGAAACAGACAGACAGUGGGUUAGGUAAGGAAACAGACAGACAGUGGUUUGGGUAUGAAACAGACAGACAGUGGGUUAGGGUAGGAAACAGACAGACAGUGGGUUAGGGUAGGAAACAGACAGUGGGUUAGGGUAUGAAACAGACAGACAGUGGGAUAGGGUAGGACGCAGACAGUGUGUUAGGGUAUGAAACAGACAGACAGUGGAUUAGGUAAGGAAACAGACAGACAGUGGUUUGGGUAUGAAACAGACAGACAGUGCGUUAGGGUAGGAAACAGACAGACAGUGGGUUAGGGUAGGAAACAGACAGUGGGUUAGGGUAUGAAACAGACAGACAGUGGGAUAGGGUAGGACGCAGACAGUGUGUUAGGGUAUGCAAUAGACAGACAGUGGGUUAGGGUAUGAAACAGACAGACAGUGGGUUAGGGUAGGAAACAGACAGUGGGAUAGGGUAGGAAAGAGACAGUGGGUUAGGGUAGGAAACAGACAGACAGUGGGUUAGGGUAUGAAACAGACAGACAGUGGGUUAGGGUAGGAAAUAGACAGUGGGUUAGGGUAAGACACAGACAGACAGUGGGUUAGGGUAGGAAACAGACAGUGGGUUAGGGUAGGAAACAGACAGACAGUGGGUUAGGGUAGGAAACAGACAGUGGGUUAGGGUAUGAAACAGACAGACAGUGGGUUAGGGUAGGAAAUAGACAGUGGGAUAGGGUAGGAAACAGACAGUGGGUUAGGGUAGGAAACAGACAGACAGUGGGUUAGGGUAUGAAACAGACAGACAGUGGGUUAGGGUAGGAAAUAGACAGUGGGUUAGGGUAGGACACAGACAGACUGUGGGUUAGGGUAGAAGACAGACAGUGGGUCAGGGUAUGAAACAGACAGACAGUGGGUUAGGUAAGGAAACAGACAGACAGUGGUUUGGGUAUGAAACAGACAGACAGUGGGUUAGGGUAGGAAACAGACAGACAGUGGGUUAGGGUAGGAAACAGACAGUGGGUUAGGGUAUGAAACAGACAGACAGUGGGAUAGGGUAGGACACAGACAGUGUGUUAGGGUAUGCAAUAGACAGACAGUGGGUUAGGGUAUGAAACAGACAGACAGUGGGUUAGGGUAGGAAAUAGACAGUGGGAUAGGGUAGGAAAGAGACAGUGGGUUAGGGUAGGAAACAGACAGACAGUGGGUUAGGGUAUGAAACAGACAGACAGUGGGUUAGGGUAGGAAAUAGACAGUGGGUUAGGGUAAGACACAGACAGACAGUGGGUUAGGGUAGGAACAGACAGACAGUGGGUUAGGGUAGGAAACAGACAGUGUGUUAGGGUAGGAAACAGACAGACAGUGGGUUAGGGUAUGAAACAGACAGACAGUGAGUUAGGGUAGGAAACAGACAGUGGGUUAGGGUAGGAAACAGACAGACAGUGGGUUAGGGUAGGAAACAGACAGACAGUGUGUUAGGGUAGGAAACAGACAGUGGGUUAGGGUAGGAAACAGACAGACAGUGGGUUAGGGUAUGAAACAGACAGACAGUGGGUUAGGGUAAGAAAUAGACAGACAGUGGGUUAGGGUAUGAAACAGACAGACAGUGGGUUAGGGUAGGAAACAGACAGUGGGUUAGGGUAGGAAACAGACAGACAGUGGGUUAGGGUAGGAAACAGACAGUGGGUUAGGGUAGGAAACAGACAGACAGUGGGUUAGGGUAGGACACAGACAGUGAGUUAGGGUAUGAAAUAGACAGACAGUGGGUUAGGGUAUGAAACAGACAGACAGUGGGUUAGGGUAGGAAAUAGACAGUGGGAUAGGGUAGGAAACAGACAGUGGGUUAGGGUAGGAAACAGACAGACAGUGGGUUAGGGUAUGAAACAGACAGACAGUGGGUUAGGGUAAGACACAGACAGACUGUGGGUUAGGGUAGGAAACAGACAGUGGGUCAGGGUAUGAAACAGACAGACAGUGGGUUAGGUAAGGAAACAGACAGACAGUGGUUUGGGUAUGAAACUGACAGACAGUGUGUUAGGGUAGGAAACAGACAGACAGUGGGUUAGGGUAGGAAACAGACAGUGGGUUAGGGUAUGAAACAGACAGACAGUGGGAUAGGGUAGGACGCAGACAGUGUGUUAGGGUAUGCAAUAGACAGACAGUGGGUUAGGGUAUGAAACAGACAGACAGUGGGUUAGGGUAGGAAAUAGACAGUGGGAUAGGGUAGGAAAGAGACAGUGGGUUAGGGUAGGAAACAGACAGACAGUGGGUUAGGGUAUGAAACAGACAGACAGUGGGUUAGGGUAGGAAAUAGACAGUGGGUUAGGGUAAGACACAGACAGACAGUGGGUUAGGGUAGGAAACAGACAGUGGGUUAGGGUAUGAAACAGACAGACAGUGGGAUAGGGUAGGACGCAGACAGUGUGUUAGGGUAUGAAACAGACUGACAGUGGGUUAGGUAAGGAAACAGACAGACAGUGGUUUGGGUAUGAAACAGACAGACAGUGCGUUAGGGUAGGAAACAGACAGACAGUGGGUUAGGGUAGGAAACAGACAGUGGUUUAGGGUAUGAAACAGACAGACAGUGGGAUAGGGUAGGACGCAGACAGUGUGUUAGGGUAUGCAAUAGACAGACAGUGGGUUAGGGUAUGAAACAGACAGACAGUGGGUUAGGGUAGGAAAUAGACAGUGGGAUAGGGUAGGAAAGAGACAGUGGGUUAGGGUAGGAAACAGACAGACAGUGGGUUAGGGUAGGAAAUAGACAGUGGGUUAGGGUAAGACACAGACAGACUGUGGGUUAGGGUAGGAAACAGACAGUGGGUCAGGUUAUGAAACAGACAGACAGUGAGUUAGGGUAGGACAAACAGUGGGUUAGGGUAGGAAACAGACAGACAGUGGGUUAGGGUAGGAAACAGACAGACAGUGUGUCAGGGUAGGAAACAGACAGUGGGUUAGGGUAUGAAACAGACAGACAGUGAAUUAGGGUAUGAAACAGACAGACAUUUAGUUAGGGUAUGAAACAGACAGACAGUGAGUUAGGGUAGGAAACAGACAGACAGUGGGUUAGGGUAUGAUACAGACAGACAGUGAGUUAGGGUAUGAUACAGACAGACAGUGGGUUAGGGUAUGAAACAGACAGACAGUGGGUUAGGGUAUGAAACAGACAGACAGUGAGUUAGGGUAGGAAACAGACAGACAGUGGGUUAGGGUAUGAUACAGACAGACAGUGAGUUAGGGUAUGAUACAGACAGACAGUGGGUUAGGGUAUGAAACAGACAGACAGUGAGUUAGGGUAGGACAGACAGUGGGUUAGGGUAGGAAACAGACAGACAGUGGGUUAGGGUAGGAAACAGACAGUGUGUUAGGGUAGGAAACAGACAGACAGUGGGUUAGGGUAUGAAACAGACAGACAGUGAGUUAGGGUAGGAAACAGACAGUGGGUUAGGGUAGGAAACAGACAGACAGUGGCUUAGGGUAGGAAACAGACAGACAGUGUGUUAGGGUAGGAAACAGACAGUGUGUUAGGGUAGGAGACAGACAGACAGUGGGUUAGGGUAUAAAACAGACAGACAGUGGGUUAGGGUAUGAAACAGACAGACAGUGGGUUAGGGUAUGAAACAGACAGACAGUGGGUUAGGGUAGGAAACAGACAGUGGGUUAGGGUAGGAAACAGACAGACAGUGGGUUAGGGUAGGAAACAGACAGUGGGUUAGGGUAGGAAACAGACAGACAGUGGGUUAGGGUAGGACACAGACAGUGAGUUAGGGUAUGAAAUAGACAGACAGUGGGUUAGGGUAUGAAACAGACAGACAGUGGGUUAGGGUAGGAAAUAGACAGUGGGAUAGGGUAGGAAACAGACAGUGGGUUAGGGUAGGAAACAGACAGACAGUGGGUUAGGGUAUGAAACAGACAGACAGUGGGUUAGGGUAGGACACAGACAGACUGUGGGUUAGGGUAGAAGACAGACAGUGGGUCAGGGUAUGAAACAGACAGACAGUGGGUUAGGUAAGGAAACAGACAGACAGUGGUUUGGGUAUGAAACAGACAGACAGUGGGUUAGGGUAGGAAACAGACAGACAGUGGGUUAGGGUAGGAAACAGACAGUGGGUUAGGGUAUGAAACAGACAGACAGUGGGAUAGGGUAGGACGCAGACAGUGGGUCAGGGUAUGAAACAGACAGACAGUGGGUUAGGUAAGGAAACAGACAGACAGUGGUUUGGGUAUGAAACAGACAGACAGUGGGUUAGGGUAGGAAACAGACAGACAGUGGGUUAGGAUAGGAAACAGACAGUGGGUUAGGGUAUGAAACAGACAGACAGUGGGAUAGGGUAGGACGCAGACAGUGUGUUAGGGUAUGCAAUAGACAGACAGUGGGUUAGGGUAUGAAACAGACAGACAGUGGGUUAGGGUAGGAAAUAGACAGUGGGAUAGGGUAGGAAAGAGACAGUGGGUUAGGGUAGGAAACAGACAGACAGUGGGUUAGGGUAUGAAACAGACAGACAGUGGGUUAGGGUAGGAAAUAGACAGUGGGUUAGGGUAAGACACAGACAGACAGUGGGUUAGGGUAGGAAACAGACAGUGGGUUAGGGUAGGAAACAGACAGACAGUGGGUUAGGGUAGGAAACAGACAGUGGGUUAGGGUAUGAAACAGACAGACAGUGGGUUAGGGUAGGACACAGACAGUGAGUUAGGGUAUGAAAUAGACAGACAGUGGGUUAGGGUAUGAAACAGACAGACAGUGGGUUAGGGUAGGAAAUAGACAGUGGGAUAGGGUAGGAAACAGACAGUGGGUUAGGGUAGGAAACAGACAGACAGUGGGUUAGGGUAUGAAACAGACAGACAGUGGGUUAGGGUAGGAAAUAGACAGUGGGUUAGGGUAGGACACAGACAGACUGUGGGUUAGGGUAGAAGACAGACAGUGGGUCAGGGUAUGAAACAGACAGACAGUGGGUUAGGUAAGGAAACAGACAGACAGUGGUUUGGGUAUGAAACAGACAGACAGUGGGUUAGGGUAGGAAACAGACAGACAGUGGGUUAGGGUAGGAAACAGACAGUGGGUUAGGGUAUGAAACAGACAGACAGUGGGAUAGGGUAGGACGCAGACAGUGUGUUAGGGUAUGAAACAGACAGACAGUGGGUUAGGUAAGGAAACAGACAGACAGUGGUUUGGGUAUGAAACAGACAGACAGUGCGUUAGGGUAGGAAACAGACAGACAGUGGGUUAGGGUAGGAAACAGACAGUGGGUUAGGGUAUGAAACAGACAGACAGUGGGAUAGGGUAGGACGCAGACAGUGUGUUAGGGUAUGCAAUAGACAGACAGUGGGUUAGGGUAUGAAACAGACAGACAGUGGGUUAGGGUAGGAAAUAGACAGUGGGAUAGGGUAGGAACAGACAGACAGUGGGUUAGGGUAUGAAACAGACAGACAGUGGGUUAGGGUAGGAAAUAGACAGUGGGUUAGGGUAAGACACAGACAGACAGUGGGUUAGGGUAGGAAACAGACAGUGGGUUAGGGUAGGAAACAGACAGACAGUGGGUUAGGGUAGGAAACAGACAGUGGGUUAGGGUAUGAAACAGACAGACAGUGGGUUAGGGUAGGACACAGACAGUGAGUUAGGGUAUGAAAUAGACAGACAGUGGGUUAGGGUAUGAAACAGACAGACAGUGGGUUAGGGUAGGAAAUAGACAGUGGGAUAGGGUAGGAAACAGACAGUGGGUUAGGGUAGGAAACAGACAGACAGUGGGUUAGGGUAUGAAACAGACAGACAGUGGGUUAGGGUAGGAAAUAGACAGUGGGUUAGGGUAGGACACAGACAGACUGUGGGUUAGGGUAGAAGACAGACAGUGGGUCAGGGUAUGAAACAGACAGACAGUGGGUUAGGUAAGGAAACAGACAGACAGUGGUUUGGGUAUGAAACAGACAGACAGUGGGUUAGGGUAGGAAACAAACAGACAGUGGGUUAGGGUAUGAAACAGACAGACAGUGGGAUAGGGUAGGACGCAGACAGUGUGUUAGGGUAUGAAACAGACUGACAGUGGGUUAGGUAAGGAAACAGACAGACAGUGGUUUGGGUAUGAAACAGACAGACAGUGCGUUAGGGUAGGAAACAGACAGACAGUGGGUUAGGGUAGGAAACAGACAGUGGUUUAGGGUAUGAAACAGACAGACAGUGGGAUAGGGUAGGACGCAGACAGUGUGUUAGGGUAUGCAAUAGACAGACAGUGGGUUAGGGUAUGAAACAGACAGACAGUGGGUUAGGGUAGGAAAUAGACAGUGGGAUAGGGUAGGAAAGAGACAGUGGGUUAGGGUAGGAAACAGACAGACAGUGGGUUAGGGUAUGAAACAGACAGACAGUGGGUUAGGGUAGGAAAUAGACAGUGGGUUAGGGUAAGACACAGACAGACUGUGGGUUAGGGUAGGAAACAGACAGUGGGUCAGGGUAUGAAACAGACAGACAGUGAGUUAGGGUAGGACAAACAGUGGGUUAGGGUAGGAAACAGACAGACAGUGGGUUAGGGUAGGAAACAGACAGACAGUGGGUCAGGGUAGGAAACAGACAGUGGGUUAGGGUAUGAAACAGACAGACAGUGAAUUAGGGUAUGAAACAGACAGACAUUUAGUUAGGGUAUGAAACAGACAGACAGUGAGUUAGGGUAGGAAACAGACAGACAGUGGGUUAGGGUAUGAUACAGACAGACAGCGGGUUAGGGUAUGAAACAGACAGACAGUGGGUUAGGGUAUGAAACAGACAGACAGUGAGUUAGGGUAGGAAACAGACAGACAGUGGGUUAGGGUAUGAUACAGACAGACAGUGAGUUAGGGUAUGAUACAGACAGACAGUGGGUUAGGGUAUGAAACAGACAGACAGUGAGUUAGGGUAGGACAGACAGUGGGUUAGGGUAGGAAACAGACAGACAGUGGGUUAGGGUAGGAAACAGACAGUGUGUUAGGGUAGGAAACAGACAGACAGUGGGUUAGGGUAUGAAACAGACAGACAGUGAGUUAGGGUAGGAAACAGACAGUGGGUUAGGGUAGGAAACAGACAGACAGUGGGUUAGGGUAGGAAACAGACAGACAGUGUGUUAGGGUAGGAAACAGACAGUGUGUUAGGGUAGGAGACAGACAGACAGUGGGUUAGGGUAUAAAACAGACAGACAGUGGGUUAGGGUAAGAAAUAGACAGACAGUGGUUUAGGGUAUGAAAUAGACAGACAGUGGGUUAGGGUAGGAAACAGACAGUGGGUUAGGGUAGGAAACAGACAGACAGUGGGUUAGGGUAGGAAACAGACAGUGGGUUAGGGUAUGAAACAGACAGACAGUGGGUUAGGGUAGGACACAGACAGUGAGUUAGGGUAUGAAAUAGACAGACAGUGGGUUAGGGUAUGAAACAGACAGACAGUGGGUUAGGGUAGGAAAUAGACAGUGGGAUAGGGUAGGAAACAGACAGUGGGUUAGGGUAGGAAACAGACAGACAGUGGGUUAGGGUAUGAAACAGACAGACAGUGGGUUAGGGUAGGAAAUAGACAGUGGGUUAGGGUAGGACACAGACAGACUGUGGGUUAGGGUAGAAGACAGACAGUGGGUCAGGGUAUGAAACAGACAGACAUUGGGUUAGGUAAGGAAACAGACAGACAGUGGUUUGGGUAUGAAACAGACAGACAGUGGGUUAGGGUAGGAAACAGACAGACAGUGGGUUAGGGUAGGAAACAGACAGUGGGUUAGGGUAUGAAACAGACAGACAGUGGGAUAGGGUAGGACGCAGACAGUGUGUUAGGGUAUGAAACAGACUGACAGUGGGUUAGGUAAGGAAACAGACAGACAGUGGUUUGGGUAUGAAACAGACAGACAGUGUGUUAGGGUAGGAAACAGACAGACAGUGGGUUAGGGUAGGAAACAGACAGUGGGUUAGGGUAUGAAACAGACAGACAGUGGGAUAGGGUAGGACGCAGACAGUGUGUUAGGGUAUGCAAUAGACAGACAGUGGGUUAGGGUAUGAAACAGACAGACAGUGGGUUAGGGUAGGAAAUAGACAGUGGGAUAGGGUAGGAAAGAGACAGUGGGUUAGGGUAGGAAACAGACAGACAGUGGGUUAGGGUAUGAAACAGACAGACAGUGGGUUAGGGUAGGAAAUAGACAGUGGGUUAGGGUAAGACACAGACAGACAGUGGGUUAGGGUAGGAAACAGACAGUGUGUUAGGGUAGGAAACAGACAGACAGUGGGUUAGGGUAGGAAACAGACAGUGGGUUAGGGUAUGAAACAGACAGACAGUGGGUUAGGGUAGGAAAUAGACAGUGGGAUAGGGUAGGAAACAGACAGUGGGUUAGGGUAGGAAACAGACAGACAGUGGGUUAGGGUAUGAAACAGACAGACAGUGGGUUAGGGUAGGAAAUAGACAGUGGGUUAGGGUAGGACACAGACAGACUGUGGGUUAGGGUAGAAGACAGACAGUGGGUCAGGGUAUGAAACAGACAGACAGUGGGUUAGGUAAGGAAACAGACAGACAGUGGUUUGGGUAUGAAACAGACAGACAGUGGGUUAGGGUAGGAAACAGACAGACAGUGGGUUAGGGUAGGAAACAGACAGUGGGUUAGGGUAUGAAACAGACAGACAGUGGGAUAGGGUAGGACGCAGACAGUGUGUUAGGGUAUGCAAUAGACAGACAGUGGGUUAGGGUAUGAAACAGACAGACAGUGGGUUAGGGUAGGAAAUAGACAGUGGGAUAGGGUAGGAAAGAGACAGUGUGUUAGGGUAGGAAACAGACAGACAGUGGGUUAGGGUAUGAAACAGACAGACAGUGGGUUAGGGUAGGAAAUAGACAGUGGGUUAGGGUAAGACACAGACAGACAGUGGGUUAGGGUAGGAAACAGACAGUGGGUUAGGGUAGGAAACAGACAGACAGUGGGUUAGGGUAGGAAACAGACAGUGGGUUAGGGUAUGAAACAGACAGACAGUGGGUUAGGGUAGGACACAGACAGUGGGUUAGGGUAUGAAACAGACAGACAGUGGGUUAGGGUAGGAAACAGACAGACAGUGGGUUAGGGUAGGAAACAGACAGACAGUGGGUUAGGGUAGGAAACAGACAGUGGGUUAGGGUAGGAAACAGACAGACAGUGGGUUAGGGUAGGAAACAGACAGACAGUGGGUUAGGGUAGGAAACAGACAGACAGUGGGUUAGGGUAGAAGACAGACAGUGGGUUAGGGUAUGAAACAGACAGACAGUGGGUUAGGGUAUGAAACAGACAGACAGUGGGUUAGGGUAUGAAACAGACAGACAGUGGGUUAGGGUAGGAAACAGACAGACAGUGGGUUAGGGUAGGAAACAGACAGACAGUGGGUUAGGGUAUGAAACAGACAGACAGUGGGUUAGGGUAGGAAACAGACAGUGGGUUAGGGUAGGAAACAGACAGUGGGUUAGGGUAGGAAACAGACAGACAGUGGGUUAGGGUAUGAAACAGACAGACAGUGGGUUAGGGUAGGAAACAGACAGUGGGUUAGGGUAGGAAACAGACAGACAGUGGGUUAGGGUAGGAAACAGACAGACAGUGGGUUAGGGUAGGAAACAGACAGACAGUGGGUUAGGGUAGGAAACAGACAGACAGUGGGUUAGGGUAGGAAACAGACAGUGGGUUAGGGUAUGAAACAGACAGACAGUGGGUUAGGGUAGGAAACAGACAGACAGUGGGUUAGGGUAUGAAACAGACAGACAGUGGGUUAGGGUAGGAAACAGACAGACAGUGGGUUAGGGUAUGAAACAGACAGACAGUGGGUUAGGGUAUGAAACAGACAGACAGUGGGUUAGGGUAUGAAACAGACAGACAGUGGGUUAGGGUAUGAAACAGACAGACAGUGGGUUAGGGUAGGAAACAGACAGACAGUGGGUUAGGGUAUGAAACAGACAGACAGUGGGUUAGGGUAUGAAACAGACAGACAGUGGGUUAGGGUAGGAAACAGACAGUGGGUUAGGGUAGGAAACAGACAGACAGUGGGUUAGGGUAUGAAACAGACAGACAGUGGGUUAGGGUAUGAAACAGACAGACAGUGGGUUAGGGUAGGAAACAGACAGUGGGUUAGGGUAGGAAACAGACAGACAGUGGGUUAGGGUAGGAAACAGACAGACAGUGGGUUAGGGUAGGAAACAGACAGUGGGUUAGGGUAGGAAACAGACAGACAGUGGGUUAGGGUAGGAAACAGACAGACAGUGGGUUAGGGUAGGAAAUAGACAGACAGUGGGUUAGGGUAGGAAGACAGACAGUGGGUUAGGGUAGGAAACAGACAGACAGUGGGUUAGGGUAGGAAAGACAGACAGUGGGUUAGGGUAUGAAACAGACAGACAGUGGGUUAGGGUAGGAAACAGACAGUGGGUUAGGGUAUGAAAUAGACAGACAGUGGGUUAGGGUAUGAAACAGACAGACAGUGGGUUAGGGUAGGAAACAGACAGUGGGAUAGGGUAGGAAACAGACAGUGGGUUAGGGUAGGAAACAGACAGACAGUGGGUUAGGGUAUGAAACAGACAGACAGUGGGUUAGGGUAGGAAAUAGACAGUGGGUUAGGGUAGGACACAGACAGACUGUGGGUUAGGGUAGAAGACAGACAGUGGGUCAGGGUAUGAAACAGACAGACAGUGGGUUAGGUAAGGAAACAGACAGACAGUGGUUUGGGUAUGAAACAGACAGACAGUGGGUUAGGGUAGGAAACAGACAGACAGUGGGUUAGGGUAGGAAACAGACAGUGGGUUAGGGUAUGAAACAGACAGACAGUGGGAUAGGGUAGGACGCAGACAGUGUGUUAGGGUAUGAAACAGACUGACAGUGGGUUAGGUAAGGAAACAGACAGACAGUGGUUUGGGUAUGAAACAGACAGACAGUGUGUUAGGGUAGGAAACAGACAGACAGUGGGUUAGGGUAGGAAACAGACAGUGGGUUAGGGUAUGAAACAGACAGACAGUGGGAUAGGGUAGGACGCAGACAGUGUGUUAGGGUAUGCAACAGACAGACAGUGGGUUAGGGUAUGAAACAGACAGACAGUGGGUUAGGGUAGGAAAUAGACAGUGGGAUAGGGUAGGAAAGAGACAGUGGGUUAGGGUAGGAAACAGACAGACAGUGGGUUAGGGUAUGAAACAGACAGACAGUGGGUUAGGGUAGGAAAUAGACAGUGGGUUAGGGUAAGACACAGACAGACAGUGGGUUAGGGUAGGAAACAGACAGUGUGUUAGGGUAGGAAACAGACAGACAGUGGGUUAGGGUAGGAACGACAGACAGUGGGUUAGGGUAGGAAACAGACAGACAGUGGGUUAGGGUAUGAAACAGACAGACAGUGGGUUAGGGUAGGAAAUAACAUAGACAGACAGUGGGUUAGGGUAGGAAACAGACAGUGGGUUAGGGUAUGAAACAGACAGACAGUGGGUUAGGGUAUGAAACAGACAGACAGUGGGUUAGGGUAGGAAACAGACAGACAGUGGGUUAGGGUAGGACACAGACAGACAGUGGGUUAGGGUAGAAGACAGACAGUGGGUUAGGGUAUGAAACAGACAGACAGUGGGUUAGGGUA
This 17012-nucleotide long non-coding RNA is filed under the name Salmo salar (Atlantic salmon). Its description in RNAcentral is "lncRNA (ENSSSAG00000120296.1)". Lineage: Eukaryota; Metazoa; Chordata; Actinopteri; Salmoniformes; Salmonidae. The record is from RNAcentral.